UCGAGGGGUAUAUUUCUUCGAAGAUAGAGACCGGCGCACGGGUGCGUAACGCGUAUGCAAUCUACCUUUCACAGAGGGAUAGCCCAGAGAAAUUUGGAUUAAUACCUCAUAGUAUUACGAAAUGGCAUCAUUUUGUAAUUAAAGUCACAACGGUGAAAGAUGAGCAUGCGUCCCAUUAGCUAGUUGGUAAGGUAACGGCUUACCAAGGCUACGAUGGGUAGGGGUCCUGAGAGGGAGAUCCCCCACACUGGUACUGAGACACGGACCAGACUCCUACGGGAGGCAGCAGUGAGGAAUAUUGGACAAUGGGCGCAAGCCUGAUCCAGCCAUGCCGCGUGCAGGAUGACGGUCCUAUGGAUUGUAAACUGCUUUUGCACAGGAAGAAACAACGCUACGUGUAGCGUCUUGACGGUACUGUGAGAAUAAGGAUCGGCUAACUCCGUGCCAGCAGCCGCGGUAAUACGGAGGAUCCAAGCGUUAUCCGGAAUCAUUGGGUUUAAAGGGUCCGUAGGCGGUUUAGUAAGUCAGUGGUGAAAGCCCAUCGCUCAACGGUGGAACGGCCAUUGAUACUGCUA
RNAcentral lists this ribosomal RNA (575 nucleotides) under uncultured Bacteroidota bacterium. RNAcentral describes it as "bacterial SSU rRNA". It matches the Rfam family "Bacterial small subunit ribosomal RNA", at positions 62 to 638 of the family's 1533-position model. Lineage: Bacteria; Pseudomonadati; Bacteroidota. The record is from RNAcentral.